AGGUAAGCUACUAAGAGCGAAUGGUGGAUGCCUUGACUGGUAAAGGCGAUGAAGGACGUACUAGACUGCGAUAAGCUACGGGGAGCUGUCAAGAAGCUUUGAUCCGUAGAUUUCCGAAUGGGGCAACCCAAUGUAUAGAGAUAUACAUUACCUAUAUAGGAGCGAACGAGGGGAAUUGAAACAUCUUAGUACCCUCAGGAAAAGAAAUCAAUAGAGAUUGCGUCAGUAGCGGCGAGCGAAAGCGCAAGAGGGCAAACCCAGUGCUUGCACUGGGGGUUGUAGGACUGCAAUGUGCAAGAGCUGAGUUUAGCAGAACAUUCUGGAAAGUAUAGCCAUAGAGGGUGAUAGUCCCGUAUGCGAAAAACAAAGCUUAGCUAGCAGUAUCCUGAGUAGGGCGGGACACGAGGAAUCCUGUCUGAAUCCGGGUCGACCACGAUCCAACCCUAAAUACUAAUACCAGAUCGAUAGUGCACAAGUACCGUGAGGGAAAGGUGAAAAGAACUGAGGUGAUCAGAGUGAAAUAGAACCUGAAACCAUUUGCUUACAAUCAUUCAGAGCACUAUGUAGCAAUACAGUGUGAUGGACUGCCUUUUGCAUAAUGAGCCUGCGAGUUGUGGUGUCUGGCAAGGUUAAGCAAACGCGAAGCCGUAGCGAAAGCGAGUCUGAAUAGGGCGCUUAGUCAGAUGCUGCAGACCCGAAACGAAGUGAUCUAUCCAUGAGCAAGUUGAAGCUAGUGUAAGAACUAGUGGAGGACUGAACCCAUAGGCGUUGAAAAGCCCCGGGAUGACUUGUGGAUAGGGGUGAAAGGCCAAUCAAACUUCGUGAUAGCUGGUUCUCUCCGAAAUAUAUUUAGGUAUAGCGUUGUGUCGUAAUAUAAGGGGGUAGAGCACUGAAUGGGCUAGGGCAUACACCAAUGUACCAAACCCUAUCAAACUCCGAAUACCUUAUAUGUAAUCACAGCAGUCAGGCGGCGAGUGAUAAAAUCCGUCGUCAAGAGGGAAACAACCCAGACUACCAGCUAAGGUCCCUAAGUCUUACUUAAGUGGAAAACGAUGUGAAGUUACUUAAACAACCAGGAGGUUGGCUUAGAAGCAGCCAUCCUUUAAAGAAAGCGUAAUAGCUCACUGGUCUAGUGAUUUUGCGCGGAAAAUAUAACGGGGCUAAAGUAAGUACCGAAGCUGUAGACUUAGUUUACUAAGUGGUAGGAGAGCGUUCUAUUUGCGUCGAAGGUAUACCGGUAAGGAGUGCUGGAGCGAAUAGAAGUGAGCAUGCAGGCAUGAGUAGCGAUAAUUAAUGUGAGAAUCAUUAACGCCGUAAACCCAAGGUUUCCUACGCGAUGCUCGUCAUCGUAGGGUUAGUCGGGUCCUAAGUCGAGUCCGAAAGGGGUAGACGAUGGCAAAUUGGUUAAUAUUCCAAUACCAACAUUAGUGUGCGAUGGAAGGACGCUUAGGGCUAAGGGGGCUAGCGGAUGGAAGUGCUAGUCUAAGGUCGUAGGAGGUUAUACAGGCAAAUCCGUAUAACAAUACUCCGAGAACUGAAAGGCUUUUUGAAGUCUUCGGAUGGAUAGAAGAACCCCUGAUGCCGUCGAGCCAAGAAAAGUUUCUAAGUUUAGCUAAUGUUGCCCGUACCGUAAACCGACACAGGUGGGUGGGAUGAGUAUUCUAAGGCGCGUGGAAGAACUCUCUUUAAGGAACUCUGCAAAAUAGCACCGUAUCUUCGGUAUAAGGUGUGGUUAGCUUUGUAUUAGGAUUUACUCCGAAAGCAAGGAAACUUACAACAAAGAGUCCCUCCCGACUGUUUACCAAAAACACAGCACUCUGCUAACUCGUAAGAGGAUGUAUAGGGUGUGACGCCUGCCCGGUGCUCGAAGGUUAAUUGAUGGGGUUAGCAUUAGCGAAGCUCUUGAUCGAAGCCCGAGUAAACGGCGGCCGUAACUAUAACGGUCCUAAGGUAGCGAAAUUCCUUGUCGGUUAAAUACCGACCUGCAUGAAUGGCGUAACGAGAUGGGAGCUGUCUCAAAGAGGGAUCCAGUGAAAUUGUAGUGGAGGUGAAAAUUCCUCCUACCCGCGGCAAGACGGAAAGACCCCGUGGACCUUUACUACAGCUUGACACUGCUACUUGGAUAAGAAUGUGCAGGAUAGGU
RNAcentral lists this ribosomal RNA (2143 nucleotides) under Campylobacter jejuni. RNAcentral describes it as "partial 23S ribosomal RNA". It matches the Rfam family "Bacterial large subunit ribosomal RNA", at positions 1 to 2148 of the family's 2925-position model. Lineage: Bacteria; Pseudomonadati; Campylobacterota; Epsilonproteobacteria; Campylobacterales; Campylobacteraceae. The record is from RNAcentral.